GUUGUAUGGUUAAGUGACUAAGCGUACACGGUGGAUGCCUUGGCAGUCAGAGGCGAUGAAAGACGUAGUAACUUGCGAUAAGCCCAGAUUAGGUAGUAACAACCAUUUGAGUCUGGGAUUUCUGAAUGGGGAAACCCACUUACAUAAGUAAGUAUCGCUGCGUGAAUACAUAGCGCAGCGAGGCGAACCGGGGGAACUGAAACAUCUAAGUACCCCGAGGAAAAGAAAUCAACCGAGAUUCCGAAAGUAGCGGCGAGCGAAAUUGGACUAGCCCUUAAGCUUUACACGCGUUAGACGAACGGUCUGGAAAGUCCGACGAUACAGGGUGAUAGUCCCGUAGUUGACGACGUGUGUUCAGUGAAAUCGAGUAGGGCGGGACACGUGAUAUCCUGUCUGAAUAUGGGGGGACCAUCCUCCAAGGCUAAAUACUACUGACUGACCGAUAGUGAACCAGUACCGUGAGGGAAAGGCGAAAAGAACCCCUGUGAGGGGAGUGAAAUAGAACCUGAAACCGUGUACGUACAAGCAGUAGGAGCACCUUCGUGGUGUGACUGCGUACCUUUUGUAUAAUGGGUCAGCGACUUAUAUUCAGUGGCAAGGUUAACCAUCUAGGGGAGCCGUAGGGAAACCGAGUCUUAACUGGGCGUUCAGUCUCUGGAUAUAGACCCGAAACCAGGUGAUCUAGCCAUGGGCAGGUUGAAGGUUGAGUAACAUCAACUGGAGGACCGAACCGACUAAUGUUGAAAAAUUAGCGGAUGACUUGUGGCUAGGGGUGAAAGGCCAAUCAAACCUGGAGAUAGCUGGUUCUCCCCGAAAGCUAUUUAGGUAGCGCCUCGGACGAAUACUACUGGGGGUAGAGCACUGUUAAGGCUAGGGGGUCAUCCCGACUUACCAACCCUUUGCAAACUCCGAAUACCAGUAAGUACUAUCCGGGAGACACACGGCGGGUGCUAACGUCCGUCGUGGAGAGGGAAACAACCCAGACCGCCAGCUAAGGUCCCAAAUUACUACUAAGUGGGAAACGAUGUGGGAAGGCUCAGACAGCCAGGAUGUUGGCUUAGAAGCAGCCAUCAUUUAAAGAAAGCGUAAUAGCUCACUGGUCGAGUCGGCCUGCGCGGAAGAUGUAACGGGGCUAAGUAGUAAACCGAAGCUGCGGCAAUAUACUUUUGUAUAUUGGGUAGGGGAGCGUUCUGUAAGCGGUUGAAGGUGUGUGGUAACGCAUGCUGGACGUAUCAGAAGUGCGAAUGCUGACAUGAGUAACGAUAAAGGGGGUGAAAAACCUCCUCGCCGGAAGACCAAGGGUUCCUGUCCAACGUUAAUCGGGGCAGGGUAAGUCGACCCCUAAGGCGAGGCCGAAAGGCGUAGUCGAUGGGAAACGGGUUAAUAUUCCCGUACUUCUUACAAUUGCGAUGGGGGGACGGAGAAGGCUAGGUGGGCCUGGCGACGGUUGUCCAGGUUCAAGUGCGUAGGCUUAAGAGUUAGGUAAAUCCGGCUCUUUUUAAGGCUGAGACACGACGUCGAGCACCUACGGGUGUGAAGUCAUUGAUGCCAUGCUUCCAGGAAAAGCCUCUAAGCUUCAGAUUGUAAGGAAUCGUACCCCAAACCGACACAGGUGGUCGGGUAGAGAAUACCAAGGCGCUUGAGAGAACUCGGGUGAAGGAACUAGGCAAAAUGGUACCGUAACUUCGGGAGAAGGUACGCUCUUGAUGGUGAAGUCCCUUGCGGAUGGAGCUGACGAGAGUCGCAGAUACCAGGUGGCUGCAACUGUUUAUUAAAAACACAGCACUGUGCAAAAUCGUAAGAUGACGUAUACGGUGUGACGCCUGCCCGGUGCCGGAAGGUUAAUUGAUGGGGUUAGACUUCGGUCGAAGCUCUUGAUCGAAGCCCCGGUAAACGGCGGCCGUAACUAUAACGGUCCUAAGGUAGCGAAAUUCCUUGUCGGGUAAGUUCCGACCUGCACGAAUGGCGUAAUGAUGGCCACGCUGUCUCCACCCGAGACUCAGUGAAAUUGAAAUCGCUGUGAAGAUGCAGUGUACCCGCGGCUAGACGGAAAGACCCCGUGAACCUUUACUACAGCUUGGCACUGAACAUUGACCCUACAUGUGUAGGAUAGGUGGGAGGCUUUGAAGCACGUACGCCAGUAUGUGUGGAGCCGUCCUUGAAAUACCACCCUUGUAGUGUUGAUGUUCUAACGUCGACCCCUUAUCGGGGUUGCGGACAGUGCCUGGUGGGUAGUUUGACUGGGGCGGUCUCCUCCCAAAGAGUAACGGAGGAGCACGAAGGUGGGCUAAUCACGGUUGGACAUCGUGAGGUUAGUGCAAUGGCAUAAGCCCGCUUGACUGCGAGAAUGACAAUUCGAGCAGGUGCGAAAGCAGGUCAUAGUGAUCCGGUGGUUCUGAAUGGAAGGGCCAUCGCUCAACGGAUAAAAGGUACUCCGGGGAUAACAGGCUGAUACCGCCCAAGAGUUCAUAUCGACGGCGGUGUUUGGCACCUCGAUGUCGGCUCAUCACAUCCUGGGGCUGAAGUCGGUCCCAAGGGUAUGGCUGUUCGCCAUUUAAAGUGGUACGCGAGCUGGGUUUAGAACGUCGUGAGACAGUUCGGUCCCUAUCUGCCGUGGGCGUUGGAAGAUUGAAGGGGGCUGCUCCUAGUACGAGAGGACCGGAGUGGACGAACCUCUGGUGUUCGGGUUGUGUCGCCAGACGCAUUGCCCGGUAGCUAAGUUCGGAAUCGAUAACCGCUGAAAGCAUCUAAGCGGGAAGCGAGCCCUGAGAUGAGUCUUCCCUGAUACUUUAAGUAUCCUAAAGGGUUGUCGGAGACUACGACGUUGAUAGGUCAGGUGUGUAAGUGCUGUGAGGCAUUGAGCUAACUGAUACUAAUUGCCCGUGAGGCUUAACCAUACAACACCCAAGGGGUUU
Molecule: ribosomal RNA, 2915 nt
Filed under: Vibrio parahaemolyticus
Lineage: Bacteria; Pseudomonadati; Pseudomonadota; Gammaproteobacteria; Vibrionales; Vibrionaceae
Also listed under: 1 other name
Description: bacterial LSU rRNA
Rfam family: Bacterial large subunit ribosomal RNA
Source: RNAcentral